CAGCCGCCGCGGGAAUACGGAGGGCGCGAGCGUUACCCGGAUUUACUGGGCGUAAAGGGCGUGUAGGCGGCCUGGGGCGUCCCAUGUGAAAGGCCACGGCUCAACCGUGGAGGAGCGUGGGAUACGCUCAGGCUAGAGGGUGGGAGAGGGUGGUGGGAUUCCCGGAGUAGCGGUGAAAUGCGCAGAUACCGGGAGGAACGCCGAUGGCGAAGGCAGCCACCUUGUCCACUUCUGACGCUGAGGCGCGAAAGCGUGGGGAGCAAACCGGAUUAGAUACCCGUGUAGUCCCUGUCUCUUAUAC
RNAcentral lists this ribosomal RNA (301 nucleotides) under uncultured bacterium. Its description in RNAcentral is "partial 16S ribosomal RNA". It matches the Rfam family "Bacterial small subunit ribosomal RNA", at positions 509 to 807 of the family's 1533-position model. The record is from RNAcentral.